GACGAACGCUGGCGGCGUGCUUAACACAUGCAAGUCGAACGGAAAGGCCCUGCUUUUGUGGGGUGCUCGAGUGGCGAACGGGUGAGUAACACGUGAGUAACCUGCCCUUGACUUUGGGAUAACUUCAGGAAACUGGGGCUAAUACCGGAUAGGAGCUCCUGCUGCAUGGUGGGGGUUGGAAAGUUUCGGCGGUUGGGGAUGGACUCGCGGCUUAUCAGCUUGUUGGUGGGGUAGUGGCUUACCAAGGCUUUGACGGGUAGCCGGCCUGAGAGGGGGACCGGCCACAUGGGGACUGAGAGACGGCCCAGACUCCUACGGGAGGCAGCAGUGGGGAAUAUUGCACAAUAGGCGGAAGCCUGAUGCAGCAACGCCGCGUGCGGGAUGACGGCCUUCGGGUUGUAAACCGCUUUCGCCUGUGACGAAGCGUGAGUGACGGUAAUGGGUAAAGAAGCACCGGCUAACUACGUG
Molecule: ribosomal RNA, 468 nt
Filed under: uncultured bacterium
Lineage: Bacteria
Description: partial 16S ribosomal RNA
Rfam family: Bacterial small subunit ribosomal RNA
Source: RNAcentral